Molecule: long non-coding RNA, 3164 nt
Organism: Daphnia pulicaria
Lineage: Eukaryota; Metazoa; Arthropoda; Branchiopoda; Diplostraca; Daphniidae
Exons: 7
Source: RefSeq, a predicted model, not a curated record
UCGAAGUGGUUGUGUUCAACCUGGUGUCAUGGCUGUUUCGAUUAAUUUGCAUUGAUUAUUGAAGUGAAUAUUGAACUGCCUUAAUUUCUUUUCAACUAUUGAAAUGCUUUCUCUUGUCUGGGAUAUCUGGCAAGAGAUAAAUCUAGAACAUGAAAUCGACUCAUCGUUCAGAGUCAAAGUGAUCGUUAUUUUACUUCUGAUUAGUGAAGGGUUCAACUACAACUGCUACAACUUAUGAACAAGGGAAUCUAUCUCAUAAAUCAUAUUUAUCCAUCAAGCUCUUCUGUGCAUUCAGUUUAUGUUCCAUGUUUCCCAAACAGUUGAAGUGUUUCAGCCGUUUGUUAGCAUGUUGCUGCUGAUCAAGUGAAAGAGAUUCAUACUAAUCAAUGAACAUGUGUGCAGUGUCUCAAUCAAAUUCAGCCAACAAGCUUUCUCCCUGAAUAACUAAUUGUUCUGUUGAGUGCAACUUACAGAGUUGAUUGUUUCACUUUUGUGCUGAAUGUUUCACUUUUGUGCUGAAUGUUUCAGUACGUCAGAUUGUUCCUCAAAUUUUUAACCAUUACGGAAUAGAUGGCAUAUAAUCUCAGGAUCACACUUUUGUAUUUGGAAGAAGUUCUCGCAGGCUGCUUUUUUACUCAUUGGCAUUGGACAUCAACCACAAACUGCUAUCAGGAAUUCGAGAUCAUUGACAAAAGAACAACAGCUCUUACAACCAGACCUUUGGCUAGGAGUAAACGAACUAAAAUUGCUCGGCUUUGAGACGAAGUAGUUUACUGUUCGUAAAGUGCCAGCGGCAAACGGACCUAACGCACCAAAGAGUGCGUACACUGCGUAGCCCCUAGCCCUUCAUAACGCUCGAGCCUUCUUCCUUCCCCGCCACGAGUCAUUAAUUCAGUAAUUCUCAUUAACUUUAAAGGUAAGUAUAUAUUUCGUUUACAAUUUUCUAAUUCUAAAUACCCGAAAUAUAUUUUUUCUUGUGAGUUGCAAAAUAAUUUUCUAUUUGUUUUUCGUCUCAAACUCGGCAUCAAUGUUAGUGAGAUUAGAAGAAGAUGAUUUUUCUUUUUAGGAAAAAAGUUUUCACGAAUGAAUGAACCUAAUGGGACUGGAGGUUGGUUUCUCUUUCGAGUGGAACUUAUUACCUUUUUGGCACCUUCCGUAAGAAUUUCCGAUCGAGUCAGAGCAGUGAAGGUCAGCUAUUGUUUCCUAAUCAUUGUUUCCUGUUCCCGUCGAUUACUUUUCUCAAAGUGUUUCACAAUUUCCUUUUUUUUUUUCGUGACAAAAAAGCAAGAGUAAAAUACUUCGUUCUUCAACAGACCAUUGAACGGUACCCUAGUGUGCGGGUCGGUGAGUGUGACGUGAAAUUAGAAGGAAAAUACCAUAUGGCGUCUAAAAGUUAUCAUUUUGGAAGACGGAAAAAGAUUUUUAUUUGCACGCAGUUUUAUCUUGCAAGUGAGUCACGACGUGUUUUUUUUUAAAUCUCGUACCCUUUUUAAUCUGCCAUCUGUUAUUCUUAAAAUCUCAGAGCAUUUCCAUCGAAUGUUGUCAGACGCGGCAUUUUGCAGAGAUGUGUCUGACUGUUCUUCUAUUCAAAUUCUUUCUUCUCCGAUUAUUAUUUCUCUCUAAGAUGGGGACAAUUGGGGCCGUGACUGUUAGUAGAUCGCCCGUGGCCGUGCUGUCACAGCCGUUUUUUCAAUCGAUGUUAAGAGUGAAAUAAGUUUGCGACAAUGCAUUGUUAUUAACCAUAACAUUUCUAACACAUUUAUGGUUUCUCCUUAGUGCAACUGCGAUGCCUUGGUGCGUCUUGACUGAUAUUUCAUAUUUGAGGUGCUACAUUUUUUCAACCUUAGCUGACAUAGAAGCAAUGAAGGUCCCGAUCCCGAAAUUUCUCACUAGGUGCCGCCGAACAAGAUAACAACAAUGGCCGCUCCCUAUCAUGUUAUGUUUAUGUACUGUCUUUCAUAUUUCAUUGAUUUGAAAUGCUAAUUGAAAUUCUAUUUAAUUUCUUCUCUGUAUAGAGUCGGUUACUUAUGGUUACUGUGUAAAGUAGUAAGUCCCAAAGUGGGUAACUUACUAAGUCUGUACUUCAUGGUUCCUGUUCAGUCUAUUAGGCUAAAUUUAAUUUCACUGACUCCAGAGUUUGUAAAACUACACCCAUAUGCUGAUGGUAAUAUCAGGCCCACCAAGGAUCUAAUUGAAUUCCCCCCUAGGGAGGUCUACCUGAUACAGUUUGUGGUGAGAACAAGAAAUACUCAUGCCAUGCUCUUUUGGCUUUUGAUGAAGUGUAAAUCAAACCCCUUUUUUACCUCUGAGUGUUCGCAAUCACAUAAACCAAUCCCCAUGCGCCUAAAGGUGUCCCAUUUCAUCCAACCUAUGAAAUGGAUCAACCGACAACAAUCACAAAACAAAGAGAUCCAAAAAACGGUCUAGCAAAGCAAGUUUUCAAGAUCUAGCUGACAAAAAAAUGUAUGCAAAUUUUACUGAAUCAGCCAAAUAUUCCAUGGUGGAUGGGAUGGAGAAUUUGAAUAUAGUGAUUACAGUCCUUACUCUUCUAGUGUUUUUAAAGAUAAGACAGUCAGACAAAACGCAUAUUCGGACGGCAUCCACAAUUUUAAAUGCGUAAAGGACUCGCAGUAGAGGCCGCUGUCGAAGCCAGCGGAUUACGAAGCUACACUACACUACUAAACUAUCCAACCGACGGCUUGUCAACUCACACCUCUCUUACUCGUUCUCAUCUCUCAACACAGAACGGGGUUUCAAUCUUUAGAUUGUGUGGCUGUUUGUGAUCUGUGAUGGUGGUUUCUUGAGGACGACGAUGAUGUUCCUAAAAUUGCAUGACAGACUUUAUGAGAAGUAAUGUCCUUUCAAGAAAGUCAACAAGGUCCCUUGUUUGCUAACUCAAUGACUGAGACUACCCUUGAAUCUCCCGUUAUACUUCCUUAAACGGGCCCUCUUGAUUUGAGGGUAAAGGGGGGUAAUCCUUUGCUACUUAUCGUUAACUUCAUCAAUUGCUGUACACCGACGAGAGCAUGCUGUCAUUCAAGACUGAUAAAUUGUAUUGUUAGUUAGAAAGUUAGUUAGAAAUUACAAGUGCAUAUCUGGGCUCCCUUCUUUUCUGUGGCCCCGUUUCCCUAUCUAACCACUAACCAACGCCCGCCGGUGGUCAC